Molecule: ribosomal RNA, 497 nt
Filed under: uncultured bacterium
Lineage: Bacteria
Description: partial 16S ribosomal RNA
Rfam family: Bacterial small subunit ribosomal RNA
Source: RNAcentral
CGAACGCUGGCGGCGUGCCUAAUACAUGCAAGUCGAGCGAAGUUUUUCUGGUGCUUGCACUAGAAAAACUUAGCGGCGAACGGGUGAGUAACACGUAAAUAACCUGCCUCAUAGACUGGGACAACUAUUGGAAACGAUAGCUAAUACCGGAUAACAGCAUUAACUGCAUGGUUGAUGUUUAAAAGUUGGUUUUGCUAACACUAUGAGAUGGCUUUGCGGUGCAUUAGCUAGUUGGUGGGGUAAAGGCCUACCAAGGCGACGAUGCAUAGCCGACCUGAGAGGGUGAUCGGCCACACUGGGACUGAGACACGGCCCAGACUCCUACGGGAGGCAGCAGUAGGGAAUCUUCCGCAAUGGGCGAAAGCCUGAUGGAGCAACGCCGCGUGAGUGAAGAAGGAUUUCGGUUCGUAAAGCUCUGUUGUUAGGGAAGAAUGAGUGUGUAGUAAAUAGACACAGGAGAGACGGUACCUAACCAGAAAGCCACGGCUAACUACGUG